UAGGGAAUCUUCGGCAAUGGGGGGAACCCUGACCGAGCAACGCCGCGUGAGUGAAGAAGGUUUUCGGAUCGUAAAGCUCUGUUGUUAAGGAAGAACGAGUGUGAGAAUGGAAAGUUCAUACUGUGACGGUACUUAACCAGAAAGGGACGGCUAACUACGUGCCAGCAGCCGCGGUAAUACGUAGGUCCCGAGCGUUGUCCGGUUUUAUUGGGCGUAAAGCGAGCGCAGGCGGUUAGAUAAGUCUGAAGUUAAAGGCAGUGGCUCAACCAUUGUAGGCUUUGGAAACUGUUUAACUUGAGUGCAGAAGGGGAGAGUGGAAUUCCAUGUGUAACGGUGAAAUGCGUAGAUAUAUGGAGGAACACCGGUGGCGAAAGCGGCUCUCUGGUCUGUAACUGACGCUGAGGCUCGAAAGCGUGGGGAGCGAACAGG
Molecule: ribosomal RNA, 429 nt
Filed under: Bacteroidota bacterium
Lineage: Bacteria; Pseudomonadati; Bacteroidota
Description: Bacteroidetes bacterium partial 16S ribosomal RNA
Rfam family: Bacterial small subunit ribosomal RNA
Source: RNAcentral